GGAGGUAUAGCUCAGCGAUAGAGCCCUUGCUUAGCAUGCAUGAGGUCCCGGUUUCAAUCCUUGCUUCCA
This 69-nucleotide transfer RNA is filed under the name Camelus ferus (Wild Bactrian camel). It matches the Rfam family "tRNA". From Rfam's summary of the family: Transfer RNA (tRNA) molecules are approximately 80 nucleotides in length. Their secondary structure includes four short double-helical elements and three loops (D, anti-codon, and T loops). The record is from Rfam by way of RNAcentral. Lineage: Eukaryota; Metazoa; Chordata; Mammalia; Artiodactyla; Camelidae.